Molecule: long non-coding RNA, 1121 nt
Organism: Gallus gallus (chicken)
Lineage: Eukaryota; Metazoa; Chordata; Aves; Galliformes; Phasianidae
Exons: 3
Source: RefSeq, a predicted model, not a curated record
GGGUGACGUAGUUAUUCAACAGGGCAGGGAUGUCACACAAUUCUCAAACAGUGAAUUCAGGCAAAGGUCAAUUCAGGAAUAAAUGCCAAACAAGACCUACACUCAGGACCAUAGAGCAGUCAUUAUUUCAACAACAUAACAGCUGCUGAAAAAACACUGAUUUCAACAGUAUCUGCUGUGUUUCUUAUUCCUCAAAAAUCCACACUGCAGAGACGCCCAUCUUUCUUGAUCUCAUAGUUCUGGAAGUUGUUACCCAGACAUUACGUGUAACCCAGCUUCAACGGCAGACUUAGGCGAUAGCUAAAUUUGGGGGAUGGAUUACUACGAUCUGACUUGAAGCACAACUGAAACGAUUAUCAUGUUUGAGCAUGAAAACUAUUGCAAGCUGUAACACCUACAACAAAGUUUGCAUGGCCAUCUCACUGGUAUUUCCAUGCACAUGAUGAGUCUGAUCCUGUGAUGUUUGAAAACCAAGAAGUACCACUUGGUUGUUCCACUGCUACUUUGAGACAAUUCUGCUACUUGGCACAAAAUAGAAGCGUUGCCAGGAACGCUGUCUACACCCUGAGUAAAAAACAAAGUUCCAAAAGUGAAUGUGAGGGACAGAAACUAUAGAAAUGAGGAAAAAAUUCACUUACAUUUAUCCAAGAUGUCUGUCGCUAUUAGUGUUGAAACUCUGCUAUGGGCUGAGGUCACAAGACCCUGUAAGCUGAAACAGAGAAGCUUCAGCUGAGGGUAACUGAAGCUGCAGCACAUUAAAAUACAUAUUAGGAUUAUAGGUACUGAUUGGAGUUUUAAUUUCUUGAUCUAUUUUUCCCGAGGCAUGAAAAGUGACCUCUAUUUUUUGGUCAUUUUUCAAUCCUGGAGGGAAGCGAUUAUGAGUAUCCUCUUCCUCAUUAAAAGUGUUCAUGUACGUUAUAUACAGUACAUUAUAUGAUAGUAUGAUGCUUUCAUUGGCAUGAGUCUGGAGUUGCCACAUUAUUCACAGAUGGGGAAACCAUAUGUGAUUUAUGCAGAUUCUCCCAAACAAAACUAGAAUAAAACCCUUAUACAACAUCACAUCAUCAUGUAUGUAGCAAAUGUAUAUAAAAGAAAAGCUAGUUUAAAAUCUUUAAAAUGUG